This 388-nucleotide ribosomal RNA is filed under the name uncultured bacterium. RNAcentral describes it as "bacterial SSU rRNA". It matches the Rfam family "Bacterial small subunit ribosomal RNA", at positions 29 to 446 of the family's 1533-position model. The record is from RNAcentral.
AACGAACGCUGGCGGCAGGCCUAACACAUGCAAGUCGAGCGCCCCGCAAGGGGAGCGGCGGACGGGUGAGUAACGCGUGGGAACGUACCCUUUGCUACGGAAUAGCCUCGGGAAACUGGGAGUAAUACCGUAUGUGCCCUUCGGGGGAAAGAUUUAUCGGCAAAGGAUCGGCCCGCGUUGGAUUAGGUAGUUGGUGGGGUAAUGGCCUACCAAGCCGACGAUCCAUAGCUGGUUUGAGAGGAUGAUCAGCCACACUGGGACUGAGACACGGCCCAGACUCCUACGGGAGGCAGCAGUGGGGAAUCUUAGACAAUGGGCGCAAGCCUGAUCUAGCCAUGCCGCGUGAGCGAUGAAGGCCUUAGGGUUGUAAAGCUCUUUCAGGGGGGAA